This 2898-nucleotide ribosomal RNA is filed under the name Clostridioides difficile. RNAcentral describes it as "23S ribosomal RNA". It matches the Rfam family "Bacterial large subunit ribosomal RNA". Lineage: Bacteria; Bacillati; Bacillota; Clostridia; Peptostreptococcales; Peptostreptococcaceae. The record is from RNAcentral.
GGUCAAGUUAUUAAGGGUGCAGGGCGGAUGCCUUGGCACUAGGAGCCGAUGAAGGACGUGAUAAGCUGCGAUAAGCUUCGGGGAGUUGCACGUAAACUUUGAUCCGAAGAUUUCCGAAUGAGGAAACUCACUUAGAGUAAUGUCUAAGUAUCAUUAAGUGAAUACAUAGCUUAAUGAGGGGAACUCAGGGAACUGAAACAUCUAAGUACCUGAAGGAAGAGAAAGAAAUUCGAUUCCGUAAGUAGCGGCGAGCGAACGCGGAUUAGCCCAAACCAAUAAAGUUUUCUUUAUUGGGGUUGCGGACAUAUCAUAACGAAGAGGUAUCGUAAUUGAAGAGGUUUGGAAAGACCCACCACAGAAGGUAAUAGUCCUGUAUGUUAAACGAGAAGACUUUAGAUAUGAUCCAGAGUACCACGGGACACGUGAAACCCUGUGGGAAGCAGGAGGGACCACCCUCCAAGGCUAAAUACUACCUAGUGACCGAUAGCGUAUAGUACCGUGAGGGAAAGGUGAAAAGAACCCCGGGAGGGGAGUGAAAUAGAACCUGAAACCCUGCACUUACAAGCUGUGGAAGCACAUUUCUUGUGUGACCGCGUACUUUUUGUAGAACGGGCCAACGAGUUACGUUAAGUAGCAAGGUUAAGCACUUAAGGUGUGGAGCCGUAGCGAAAGCGAGUUUUAACUGAGCGUUCAGUUACUUGACGUAGACCCGAAACCGGGCGACCUACCCAUGAGCAGGAUGAAGCGAAAGUAAAAUUUCGUGGAGGUCCGAACCCACGAGCGUUGAAAAGCUCGGGGAUGACUUGUGGGUAGCGGUGAAAUUCCAAUCGAGCCCGGAGAUAGCUGGUUCUCCCCGAAAUAGCUUUAGGGCUAGCCUCAAGGUGAGAGAUACGGAGGUAGAGCACUGAAUGUCCUAGGGGGUAUUGCACCUACCGAAGACUAUCAAACUCCGAAUGCCGUCAUCUUAUACUUGGGAGUCAGACUGUGGGUGAUAAGAUUCAUAGUCGAAAGGGCAACAGCCCAGAUCGUCAGCUAAGGUCCCUAAAUGUAAGUUAAGUGGUAAAGGAUGUGGGAUUGCACAGACAACCAGGAUGUUGGCUUAGAAGCAGCCACUCAUUCAAAGAGUGCGUAAUAGCUCACUGGUCGAGUGAUCCUGCGCCGAAGAUUUCCGGGGCUAAAACUUACUACCGAAGCUACGGCAUCAGUAAUGAUGGGUAGGGGAGCUUCCCAUACGGGUUGAAGCAUGACCGUAAGGACAUGUGGACAGUAUGGGAGUGAGAAUGUUGGCAUGAGUAGCGAGAUGUGGGUGAGAAUCCCACAGGCCGUAAACCCAAGGUUUCCAGGGGAAGGUUCGUCCGCCCUGGGUUAGUCGGGACCUAAGCUGAGGCCGAAAGGCGUAGGUGAUGGACAACAGGUUGAUAUUCCUGUACUACCGAUAACCGUUUGAGAGAAGGGAUGACACAGUAGGAUAAGCUAAGCACACUGUUGGUUAUGUGUGCCCAAGCAUUGAGGCAGUCAAAGUAGGCAAAUCCGCUUUGAUAAUGCUGGGAUGUGAUGGGGAGCGAAAUUUAGUAGCGAAGUAGCUGAUUUCACACUGUCAAGAAAAGUCUCUAUCGAGGUUAAAGGUACCCGUACCGCAAACCGACACAGGUGGGUGAGGAGAGUAUCCUAAGGCCAGCGAGAGAACUGUUGUUAAGGAACUCGGCAAAAUGACCCCGUAACUUAGGGAUAAGGGGUGCCACCAUCAGGUGGCCGCAGAGAAUAGGCCCAAGCGACUGUUUACCAAAAACAUAGGUUUCUGCUAAGUCGCAAGACGAUGUAUAGGAGCUGACGCCUGCCCGGUGCUGGAAGGUUAAGGGGAUCUGUUAGAGCAAUCGAAGCAGUGAACUUAAGCCCCAGUAAACGGCGGCCGUAACUAUAACGGUCCUAAGGUAGCGAAAUUCCUUGUCGGGUAAGUUCCGACCCGCACGAAAGGCGUAACGAUUUGGGCACUGUCUCAACAACAGACUCGGUGAAAUUGUAAUUCCGGUGAAGAUGCCGGAUACCUGCGACAGGACGGAAAGACCCCAUGGAGCUUUACUGUAGCUUGACAUUGGGUCUUGGUACUACAUGUACAGGAUAGGUGGGAGGCUUUGAAACCAGGACGCCAGUUUUGGCGGAGCCAUCCUUGGGAUACCACCCUUGUAGUACUGGGACUCUAACCAUAGGCCAUGAAUCUGGUCUUGGGACACUGUCAGGUGGGCAGUUUGACUGGGGCGGUCGCCUCCCAAAAGGUAACGGAGGCGCUCAAAGGUUCUCUCAGUACGGUCGGAAAUCGUACGUAGAGUGUAAAGGCAAAAGAGAGCUUGAUUGCAAGACAUACAGGUCGAGCAAGGAUGAAAAUCGGACUUAGUGAUCCGGUGGUUCUGCGUGGAAGGGCCAUCGCUCAACGGAUAAAAGCUACCCUGGGGAUAACAGGCUUAUCUCCCCCAAGAGUCCACAUCGACGGGGAGGUUUGGCACCUCGAUGUCGGCUCAUCACAUCCUGGGGCUGUAGUAGGUCCCAAGGGUUGGGCUGUUCGCCCAUUAAAGUGGUACGCGAGCUGGGUUCAGAACGUCGUGAGACAGUUCGGUCCCUAUCCGUCGCAGGCGUAGGAAAUUUGAGAAGACCUGUCCUUAGUACGAGAGGACCGGGAUGGACGUACCUCUGGUGUACCAGUUGUCCUGCCAAGGGCAUGGCUGGGUAGCUAUGUACGGAAUGGAUAAGCGCUGAAAGCAUCUAAGCGCGAAGCCAACUUCAAGAUAAGAUUUCCCACCGUAAGGGUAAGACCCCAGAAAGACUAUCUGGUUGAUAGGUCGAAGGUGUAAGUGCAGCAAUGUAUUUAGCUUAUCGAUACUAAUAGGUCGAGGACUUGACCAA